This 277-nucleotide ribosomal RNA is filed under the name uncultured bacterium. RNAcentral describes it as "partial 16S ribosomal RNA". It matches the Rfam family "Bacterial small subunit ribosomal RNA", at positions 29 to 327 of the family's 1533-position model. The record is from RNAcentral.
AGCGAACGCUGGCGGCAUGCUUAACACAUGCAAGUCGCACGGUCGGGGGAAACUUCGGCAGUGGCGGACGGGUGAGUAACGCGUAGGUAUCUAUCCGUGGGUGGGGGAUAACGGCGGGAAACUGCUGCUAAUACCGCAUGACACCUGAGGGUCAAAGGCGCGAGUCGCCUGCGGCGGAGCCUGCGUCCGAUUAGCUAGUUGGUGGGGUAAUGGCCUACCAAGGCUGCGAUCGGUAGCUGGUCUGAGAGGAUGAUCAGCCACACUGGGACUGAGACAC